GUGGGGAAUCUUGCGCAAUGGGCGAAAGCCUGACGCAGCCAUGCCGCGUGAAUGAUGAAGGUCUUAGGAUUGUAAAAUUCUUUCACCGGGGACGAUAAUGACGGUACCCGGAGAAGAAGCUCCGGCUAACUUCGUGCCAGCAGCCGCGGUAAUACGAAGGGGGCUAGCGUUGCUCGGAAUUACUGGGCGUAAAGGGCGCGUAGGCGGACAGCUUAGUCAGAGGUGAAAGCCCAGGGCUCAACCUUGGAAUUGCCUUUGAUACUGGCUGUCUUGAGUUUGGGAGGGGUGAGUGGAACUCCGAGUGUAGAGGUGAAAUUCGUAGAUAUUCGGAAGAACACCAGUGGCGAAGGCGACUCACUGGCCCAAUACUGACGCUGAGGCGCGAAAGCGUGGGGAGCAAACAGGAUUAGAAACCCGGGUAGUCC
RNAcentral lists this ribosomal RNA (425 nucleotides) under uncultured bacterium. RNAcentral's name for it is "partial 16S ribosomal RNA". It matches the Rfam family "Bacterial small subunit ribosomal RNA", at positions 354 to 796 of the family's 1533-position model. The record is from RNAcentral.